This 484-nucleotide ribosomal RNA is filed under the name uncultured bacterium. RNAcentral's name for it is "partial 16S ribosomal RNA". It matches the Rfam family "Bacterial small subunit ribosomal RNA", at positions 30 to 507 of the family's 1533-position model. The record is from RNAcentral.
AUUGAACGCUGGCGGCAGGCCUAACACAUGCAAGUCGAGCGGAUGAAGGGAGCUUGCUCCUGGAUUCAGCGGCGGACGGGUGAGUAAUGCCUAGGAAUCUGCCUGGUAGUGGGGGAUAACGUCCGGAAACGGGCGCUUAUACCGCAUACGUCCUGAGGGUGAACGUGGGGGAUCUUCGGACCUCACGCUAUCAGAUGAGCCUAGGCCGGAUUAGCUAGUUGGUGGGGUAAAGGCUUACCAAGGCGACGAUCCGUAACUGGUCUGAGAGGAUGAUCAGUCACACUGGAACUGAGACACGGUCCAGACUCCUACGGGAGGCAGCAGUGGGGAAUAUUGGACAAUGGGCGAAAGCCUGAUCCAGCCAUGCCGCGUGUGUGAAGAAGGUCUUCGGAUUGUAAAGCACUUUAAGUUGGGAGGAAGGGAAGUAAGUGAAUACCUGGCUGUUUUGACGUUACCAACAGAAUAAGCACCGGCUAACUUCGUG